CGGGCUUAAGUCCAAAGUGAACAGGCUUGGAUUUUGGGCUUAUUCGAGUCCAUAACAUAACCCUGUGUUCCCAUCUUCUCUACCUGGUUAGGUUUUCGCCCUUCCUCUCCCGCCUCCCCCGAUCUAUAUUACAAAGCUUUUCUUCUUCUCCCACAAAAUUAAUUUCAUUUCAACUUUCAAUCUUCUUCUCCUCCUUCUUCAUCGUAGUGGUGUGUUUGUGAAGUUGAUUCGGCGUGGAAAUGAUGGGAAUAGUAAAAGGUUUGAGCAGGAGGAGAGCAUGUUGGUUUGGUUUGGCAGUGACAGUGUUUGGAGUUAGGGCAAAGUGAAGAAGGCCCCUGUCCCUUGCCGAGUUAUUGCAUGGCGACGCUCGCAACUUCUUCCAUAUCAAUGAUGAUCUCAGGGGUUGUAUGAAAAGGCGUGGGUUGCAUUCUAGUAUGGAAUCGCAACUUAGACUUCUCCCCUCACAUUGUUCCCUCCCUUCGACACAGUCACUGUUCCGCCACCAAUGCGCUUCCUGCGUUGAUUACAAACUCCUCUCUGAUCCACGCCAUCAAACAUAUCUGCCUUAUUUCAUCAAUUUGUAAAUCGUCGAUAUUCACUAUUCACUAACCUAAUAUUCUCCCUAUUAUUCCUGUUUUUUGGUCAUUUCUGCAACUUUUCUUUUUACAUAAAUACUGAUCCACAUCCACAUUUUUGUGAUAUUGUCAGAACUUGAAGUUGGCGGUGAUUCGCAUAUUUGAUCUGUAACAGUAGGGAACGCUCAGAUGUUUUUCAGUGUGUCUUUGUUGCUUCUAAAUGUCUGGGACGCUUGCUUCUCCUCAAUUGUUGUCGUUCGCACUCCUUCAGCUCGUACUGCUCGUCUACUUUCAACAACGGAGAGGGGAGGUACCUGUGAAGAUACUCCGAUGCUCAAGUCAGACGUGAGUUAUGGAGCCUCAACUCUCAAGAAAGUGAUUAUAUUAUUACUAUAGAAUAUUAUCUAGAGUCAAUAAAAUGUAAGUGGAACGUACUUGGACUUUGGCCCUGUUAUUGUAUUUAUAAGUGUAAAAUAAAAACAACCUUACCUGGAAAUCUAGUUAGUCACUCAUCGCUUAAAA
Molecule: small RNA, 1097 nt
Filed under: Vigna angularis var. angularis
Lineage: Eukaryota; Viridiplantae; Streptophyta; Magnoliopsida; Fabales; Fabaceae
Description: Non-protein coding transcript
Source: RNAcentral